UAAUUGUCAUAAGACUUGAUUCAGUUAACUUUUGUAAGAAUGUUUCCUCACCUGCAACAUGAGGAUAAUAUUAAUAUUACCUACAGACAGAUGCUAUAAACUACAUCCAGGUGUGCUGUGAGAAUUAAAUGAGCUGCUGGGUGUGGCUGUGAUUUACAAACCAUAGUGUAAUUAUUGUGUCAAAGUUGAAAGCAAGUAGAUAGUAUCUGGUAGGACUUUUGACCUCAAUGUAAUGACCAGAAUCUGCAAGACAGCAUUUUGGUGAGUGCUAAUCUUUUGAUUUAGGGCCAGUGUUUCUGGAAAGCCAGAAGGAUGGUUUGUAAUGAAGCAGAAUGUUUUGCCCAGAACGGCUGGCUAAGCAGUUGCAAAUUCUGUUUUCUUUGCCUGUUAAAGCCAUUUUAGCUUAAGUGUUGUUGUAGCUACUAUGGAGUCCUAGCUAGUGUCUUACUGUACAGAAUUAUUCAUCAUUUUCUAAGAGAAUCAUUUUGAUAAGGAACAUUCUCUUUAUUUUGUAUCUCUAUUGGGGUCAUCUUAUGGGGCAUCCACCUUGGGAUACACAAUUUGUGAGACAUUUUCAGUGAUAUUAUUUAAUAUUGUCCUUACAAUCACCCUCUGAAGUAUGCAUUAUCAUCUAUAUUUACAGACAAGAAAAGUGAAACUCAGUAACUUGCCUAACAUUAAAUGAGAGAGCUGAGAUUAACCCUCUUACCAAACUCAAGUUAGGUAUAUGCUCUUACCACUGCAUUGGUUCACUGGUUUUCAUAUUACUUUAGUGUAAGCACAGAAAAAGGGAAGGCAAUAGGAGUUCUCAACCCAGAGCAGUGCUACCCCACUAAGGAGUGUUUGAAGAGGGUAUUGAUUGCCUAACUGAGUUAAGGGGCUGCUGGAUUUGUUGGGCAGGGAUCAGCAGUGCCAAAUAUUCUGCAGUGCUCAGGACUAUACAACUGAAGAAUUUUCCCACCUGAGCAGCCAGCAGUGAUUCAUGAAUGUCUCUCUUGACCUUUUCUGAAAAGAUAAAAGUGGACUGUGUCUGUAUUAGUAUGACUAUAUUUUGUAGUUUUCACUUGGAUGCUUUUUGUGAUAUAGGAAAACCCAACCCUUACUUCCCAAGUGAUAUGACUUGAAUUCUUUUUCCCUCUAAAACUUGUGUUGAAAUUUAAUCCCUAAUGUUGCGGUAUUGAGAGGUGAGGCCUUUAAGAAGUGAGUGGGUCAGAGCUCUCAUAAAUAGAUUAGUCCAUUCAUGGAUUAAUGGACUAAUGGACUAAUAGAUUAAUGAAUUAUCAUGGGUGAAGAACUGGUGGCUUUAUAGGAAGAGGAAGAGAGACCUGAGCUAGCACAUCAGUACACUUAGCCCCCUCACUAUGUGAUACCCUGUGCAGCUUUGGGAUCCUUUAGAGAGUCCUCACUAGCAAGAAAGAUUUUACCAGAUGUGUCUCCUCAACCUUGGAUGGUCCAGCCUCCAGAACUAGAAGAAACAAAUGUCAGUUUCUUGGAAUUACCCAGUUUCAGGGAUUCUGUUAUAAACAAUAGAAAAUGAACCAAGACACAAAGCAAGAUGAAAUUGUUUCAUCUUUAGGUGUUUGUAUAAACCUUAUCACAGUACCUCAAUCGCUGUAUCCAUAAGCAUGAGCACCAUUUUAUUCAUUACUGGCUUUGUGGUGCCUAGCAUUGAGUCUAGCUAGUAGCAGGUGCUCAAGUAAUACUUGUGAAUACGAGGGCAUAGUGGUUUCUCUAUCAUCUAUGAAGCUCAGGAGACAGGCCUGAAGGCAUGGAUUGUCUGUGCUUACUGCUCUUCCUCCCUGCCCUCCAAAUAAACAGAACCAGUUAUCCAACUUGGUUUAAAAACAUUAGUGUUUCAGCGGCCAUUAAAAAUACAUUGCAUAUUGCUCUUCCUGAAUUCUUGCUCCUUUUCUGACUAACAUGUGAUCUGAUAGCUUAGGGUCUCAUUUGGUCACCAGCACCCUUCUAGGAAGGAAUGUUCUAUUCCUUGAAUCUGGCUGAGUGAUGGUUGCCUUACAAAGAUUAUUUUUCACGUCAGCUUCCUUAAGUUGUAGAUCCAUUUUUUUUCCCCUUGUGUACUUUGAGUGAUAGAGCUAUUACUAGAGCUGGGGUGUGUUUUCUAAAUGGUUGGCUAGAGCAAAAGCAUCAUAUUACAUUUCUUAAGAAAGGACUUUAAUUUAUUAGAAUUAUUAGUUCUCAUUUUCUACCUGUUAACCUUUGAAAUAUUAUUUACUUUUCCUUCUGGCAUUUGCAUAUACCUUGGGGUUAUUUUUCUCUUUUUAUAUCGAUCAAAUAUACUUUCAUAUAUUGUAAAUGUAUGUAAAGCACUUCAGGUUGGCACUAGUCCUUUUCAAUUACUAGUUAAAACGCUAUGAUGCCCUUUGAGAAAGAACUAUAUAAAUUUCAUAUUUUAAUUUAUGAGCUCUCAGUUAUGUUACUUGCUUAAGUUCCCUUAGCAAUUAAGUAGAGGAAUUAAAAUAAGAACUAAACAUGCCUGAUUCCUAGUUAUUUGGCUUCAAUAUUUUUUAAGAGUUUCCCUUCCUCUUCCCUCCAUUUGUGAUUUCUUCCUUCCUCUCUUUCUCCCAAGGAACUCCAUUACUGACUUUCUUCUACAUCUUACAUAAAAUUGUUAAUUUCCUUACUAUACUUAUAACCUUACACUUAGAGCUCAGGGUAGACCCAAGGAACGAUUGUUAACUUAGGUCAGACCUGAGCACCGUGGGACCUGCCCAACCUCUCUCUCACCUUGCCAAAUGCCUCCCACUUUCAUAGUAUCCCCAUCACCAAUUUCUUGACAAAAGUAGACUAUCCCCACUGUCUCCCACCCUUUUAUUCACCCCUUCUCUUUCCCUCCUUCCCUCCCUCCCUUCCAUCCUUCCUUCCCUUUCCUUCCUUCCUUCCCUUCCUUUCACCCUUUUCCCUCCCUCCCUUCCUCCCUUCCUUCCUUCCUUUUUCUCUCUUUCUCUGUUUCUCUCUCUCUCUUUUCUUUCUUUUUUUUCUGUUACAGGCAGCAUGUAUUCUGAUGUUGUUUUAUUUAGUUCUCUCUCCUUUUUUGGGGAUUGGGUAAGUAUGGUAGUGGGUAUGUGUCCUCACACAGAAAAGUUUAAACUGCAAUUUGAAUGAAAUUUUGUAACUUCCUGAAAUGCAGAUUAGGUUGUGGCAUGCUAGUUCACUUUGGAUUCAUGUGAUGUCACCAAAUGGCUAAAAAAAAAAAAAAAAAUCAAACAUGAUCAGCACAGUUAUUACUUUUUAAAGCCUUUUGAGAAAAACAUGUGUGUUGAAGAACAGGAUAGUGGACACAAAAAUAACUUCAGUCUCUAAGUGGGUAGAGAAUUGUUUUAACUUGAUAAUGUGUUUGAAAAGAAGAUAAGACAGUGGUUUGGGAAGUCACUGCCCUCUGCCCUGUGUGGAAUCCAAGGAUUAUUAGCAUUACAAGAAGAAAUUGCAGAUGAUCAUUACUAAAUGAAGAGAUUACUGGGAGACACAUGCCUCAGGUCAAAGAAGACAAUGGGGAUUAAGAGAUUACAACUAAUACAGAGAUGAUAUUAACUGUUUUCCCAAGGUUGAAUACAAAGGAAAUAAGAACAACUAUUUCUCAGGCUGGAGUAGGGAGUGGUGCUGGAGCUGAGGUUGCUUUUAAAUAUUCUUUCUAAAUUUGGCCCCAAAUUCUUUAGGUUAGUUGUAUUACUCAGGAAGAAAGAUUGAAGCCAUGUUGAUUUGGAUACUGUGUCAAAACUCAGUCUUGAUUCACUGUGCUUGCUGUCCUUCCUCAGUCACUGCUGUUGCAAUUCAAGUCCUGAAGACAGGGUAGGAAUCCAACCUGAGGCAGUUAUGGGAGAGACUGUAAAUUCCCACACUGGUUUUCAGAGACCCGGAGUCUAAACCCAUUUUUGACCAGAAGAAUGUGAUGGAAUUUCUUACACGCUC
RNAcentral lists this long non-coding RNA (3927 nucleotides) under Homo sapiens (human). RNAcentral's name for it is "HSALNT0336772". The record is from RNAcentral. Lineage: Eukaryota; Metazoa; Chordata; Mammalia; Primates; Hominidae.